RNAcentral lists this ribosomal RNA (510 nucleotides) under uncultured bacterium. Its description in RNAcentral is "partial 16S ribosomal RNA". It matches the Rfam family "Bacterial small subunit ribosomal RNA", at positions 28 to 507 of the family's 1533-position model. The record is from RNAcentral.
GACGAACGCUGGCGGCGUGCUUAACUCAUGCAAGUCGAACGAAGAGCCACGGCUGCUGGCUUCUGUCAAUCUUAGUGGCGAACGGGUGAGUAACGCGUAAUCAACCUUCCCUUCAGGGGGGGAUAACAGUGGGAAACGACUGCUAAUACCGCAUACGACCUAUUCUCGGCAUCGAGGGUGGAUGAAAGGUGGUCGCGACAUGUAAGCCUUCACUGAAGUCGGUGAUUGGGUCGGAUUAGCUAGUUGGCGGGGAAACGGCCCACCAAGGGGAUGGUUAGUAGCCGGCCAGAGAGGAUGAACGGCCACGUUGGGAGUGGGACACGGCCCACACUCCUACGGGGGGCAGCAGUGGGGGACUCCCCGCAGUGGACGAAGGUCUGACGGAGCAACGCCGCGGGAGUGAUGACGGCAUUCGGGUUGUGAAGCUGUGUUAAUCGGGACGAAAGGCCUUCUUGCGAAUAGUGGGAAGGAUUGACGGUACCGGGAGAGAAAGCCACGGCUAACUACGUG